CAACUGUGUUAAGCAGGAGGCGCUGCUUAGGGCAACUCGUGAAGUGAUGAAUAUGCUAAAUGAUGGAAAUCUCUUUUUAUUUAGACGGAGCUACCGAAUGUAAUCUGGUGCAAAGGGAUGACGCCCCGGAAAGCACAUGAUAACAUCUGUCAAACUUUACAUCUGACUGAUGAUACAUUAAUCGUUUAAUGAACUCCUACCUUCUGUUUAGUCAUAAACCUACUGUAGGAUCACACUGAUUCUGACAUGGGGCCUUAUAGCCACACUACAUGAUGGGAAGGCUACUCCGUGACAUCACCCUAAAUUAGUAGCAACUAGCAUGUGUAGCAUGUGGAGGUUUUGCUGUGACACAAGCAGAAUGAACACACCUGUCAAAGAAGCAAGUAAUAGUGACAUUCGAUUCUGUUCUUUUUUCUGAAUUCUACAGUCGUAAACUCUUCUGAAUAUCA
Long non-coding RNA from Oncorhynchus masou masou (cherry salmon), 449 nucleotides. RefSeq lists it as uncharacterized. NCBI's taxonomy places the organism in Eukaryota, Metazoa, Chordata, Actinopteri, Salmoniformes, Salmonidae. The transcript has 2 exons. The record is from RefSeq and is a predicted model, not a curated record.